This 379-nucleotide ribosomal RNA is filed under the name uncultured bacterium. RNAcentral describes it as "bacterial SSU rRNA". It matches the Rfam family "Bacterial small subunit ribosomal RNA", at positions 30 to 409 of the family's 1533-position model. The record is from RNAcentral.
AUUGAACGCUGGCGGAAUGCUUUACACAUGCAAGUCGAACGGCAGCACGGGGCAACCUGGUGGCGAGUGGCGAACGGGUGAGUAAUACAUCGGAACGUGCCCAAUCGUGGGGGGAUAACGUAGCGAAAGUUACGCUAAUACCGCAUACGAUCUACGGAUGAAAGCGGGGGAUCGCAAGACCUCGCGCGAAUGGAGCGGCCGAUGUCAGAUUAGGUAGUUGGUGGGGUAAAGGCUCACCAAGCCGACGAUCUGUAGCUGGUCUGAGAGGACGACCAGCCACACUGGGACUGAGACACGGCCCAGACUCCUACGGGAGGCAGCAGUGGGGAAUUUUGGACAAUGGGCGCAAGCCUGAUCCAGCCAUUCCCGCGUGCAGGAU